RNAcentral lists this ribosomal RNA (406 nucleotides) under uncultured bacterium. RNAcentral describes it as "partial 16S ribosomal RNA". It matches the Rfam family "Bacterial small subunit ribosomal RNA", at positions 30 to 527 of the family's 1533-position model. The record is from RNAcentral.
AUUGAACGCUGGCGGCAGGCCUAACACAUGCAAGUCGAACGAGUGGCGGACGGGUGAGUAAUGUCUGGGAAACUGCCCGAUGGAGGGGGAUAACUACUGGAAACGGUAGCUAAUACCGCAUACCAUCGGAUGUGCCCAGAUGGGAUUAGCUAGUAGGUGGGGUAACGGCUCACCUAGGCGACGAUCCCUAGCUGGUCUGAGAGGAUGACCAGACACACUGCAACCGUGACAGGGUCCAGACUCCUACGGGAGGCAGCAGUGGGGAAUAUUGCACCAUGGGGGCAAGCCUGAGGCAGCAAUGCCGCGUGUAUGAAGAAGGCCUUCGGGUUGUAAAGUACUUUCAGCGAGGAGGCGUUACUCGAAGAAGAAGCACCGGCUAACUCCGUGCCAGCAGCCGCGGUAAUUG